CGGGUGUGACAUUAACUAUAUAUUUCGUAUAAUCAGUUGUGAUUAGUUGUAAGUUGAAAUUAUUAACUAUCCACCAUCGAUGUGGUUCACAAGUCCCUACAACAGAUGAAGGGAUGUGACGCUGUGUCAUCCAUAUAAUUAAUUACUCAUUUUAUAAUUGGUGCUAUUGUUGGUAUUUCUUAACGUCACAAAUAAAAUCCGCAAGCGCACGGAAGAUACCGAUGUAGCAGUUCACCCUCAAGUAUUCCAAGGUAUCGAUUUCCUCAGGGAACGUGUGUGUUCAGCUCCUCUUCAGGUUCACCCAAGGACAUGAAGCAAAUGUAGGCAAAGGGUAAAGAGGAUUUCCUAGUGAGAAACCAUGUCUACGGAAAGCUCAAUUUAAUCCUAACGUGAUACUUUAGGCACUGGCCAGCCCGCUGCUCAAAGAUGUUGCUCUACUGCAUACCCAGACAGGGAGGACUUUAGUGUAUUUAAGGGCUGUCACCACCUCUACGCCUACCUCAAACCUACGGUGGGAUACGAAGCAAUCACCGGAAAUUAAUUACCCAGACUCUACGUCUAUGCAAUUAAUAACUACUUUAGCGCUAGCUAAACAGUAAAGUAAUCACUAUAAAUUAAUGGGCUAUAGCGAACAAUGAUCCCGCAUGUGGGCACUCGAACAUUAUAUCGUCCAGUGCAAUUCGUGACCACCACAUAAUUUUGGAUGAGUGGGAUCCAUACACGUAUAAAUAGCCACUCAUACCUCAAUGUGCUCAUGAUCACAAUUUAACACCAUUCGAUAUAAAAUCCGCAAUGCCGAAUCAUGAGCAAAGGAGAUAUUGUUCGGACUCAGCAUGCCAGUCAACUGCAGCCUGAGACAUGCCCGUCAAACCACACGAAGGCAGCGACCAAAAGUGUUACACAUCUCAGGAGACUUGACUCAAAAUGCUAAAGCUCUACAACAUCUCAAUUGCUCAAAAUUCAUACUCAUGCUCAGCUAGUCCCCAGAAAACUGACUAGCCUCGCACUUUCAUCGCAAGCAAUUGAUAAACAUCACAAAUGCAUAAAUCUAGAUACAAGGACAGCAAGGUACAUAUUUCAUAACGGGGUUCACAAGCCCAUCAUACAACACAAAAUAUAGCAGCGGAAGUUUCAUAAUUUCUCAUAAGCAAAAGAAAAACCUGUGGUGUGCCAACAACCCCACAAGGGCAACCAAUCGGGGCAAGAGCGAACUUCAACUACUCGCUACCCUCGCCACCCUUGGUGGGAUAGUAGUAGGGCACAACAUCAACGCCGGCAUCCUCACCUGAAAAUAGCAACAUGAGUACGAAAGGUACUCCGCAAGACUUACACCAUAUAUGAUAGUACAAAGGAGUAUGCAAAUUUCUACAUCAAAGGAAAUGGCUAAGUGGUUCAGAUUUUGCAUAGAGCUAAUUUUGUUGAGCAAGUAGUAAGUUGCAAAUAUAACAUUUGUACAAAAUAGCAUAAUCCGAAAUUUAGGACAGCAAGCAAGUAAAUCUGAAAUUGAAUCACAAAUGAGCACAACCGGUGCUCUCAUCACCAUCCAUGGGCUACCGUUGCCCAACCAUGGAUUCCAAACAUAACUAUCACCAUAUCCAUGACUAAACCAGCCAUUUAACCCAAGUUUGAUGCUAACAUAGACUGACUAACACAUCAAGCGAUCGUCCUAUAACCGUGGACACGGCUAUUCGAAUAGUUUUACUCUGAUCAGAGGUGUACAACUUUACCCACACGAAAUGAACAAGGAUCAAAUGCUUCACACGCACACAGGUGUGACCUACAAGUGAUACAAGCUCAUAACAUGUCCUUUCCUAGUGACACCCCAACCACCUAAACCACGCCUAGGCCCCCGUCGACUUAGCCACGUGCGUGUGAUGUGGCCAGCUCACCAUCGCGGGAGAAACCCCCUGCCAAAAUCAGGCACACCCGGGGCAAUCCAAAGGGAAAACCACCCUCACGAAUGACCAGCAAGACGUAGAUGAGCACAGUGCAACAUAGUACUAAGACAAGCCGGUCCCAAAUAAGGUGUGUGGAAGUACGUAUGGUGCUUGAAUAGACGUCAACAUGUUCGGUCCUUAACAACCCAGACAAGGCUACUUGCAUCAGGGAAAAUGACCAUCCCGUCAUCGCCCUAUCACACGUCCAAGCUAAAGCAUGUUUCCAUAUUAAUCAUUGAGUGAGGUAAUCAGAUUUUAAUGCCCAUAAAUCGCGGGUGGUGAAUAAGUUCAUCCGAUGGCUCCAUCCAUCGAUUUCUAACAACAGUAGACCUAAGCAUGGCUAAGCAUUCGAUGAUAGAAUAAACCAUCCUAACCAUUUACAAUUGAAGGUGACAAGGUUACAUGGCAACAAUAUAUUAAAGGAAGGGAAAUGCAUGAACUUGGAUAUAAACAACUCUACCCGUUACCGACAUUUUAAGGCAAUUCAACUUAUGCAUAUAUAUAGUUUUUGCAAGCAAAUAAGUUUUGUGAAAUCAUAGGUUCAAUAUCCAUAGACGCUUGCCUUGCUGCUGUGCGGAAACACACUCAACCUCUGAGUCUUGCUCCACGUAUUCCAAAUUCUCCGAAUCUACCAAUAAGAGGCAAAUAUGCAAAUAAGAUUCAAAUAAAUAUGCAUAUGCAACAUGCUCUAUAAAUCAUGGCCUAAUUACAGUAGGUAGAGAGUAUGAUAAACUAAUUUUAGGAACAAGAAUCAACUCAUUUACAUUUAUGGUUUGAGAGGUAUAAAAAUAACAAGCCAUAUACACUGAAAAUGGCAUUGUUUCAGUUACAUAUGAACUAACCUAAGUCAUAUGAAAAACUGACAUUUUCUUAACAGAAGUUGAAAAGUUUUCCUUUACAAACAUAAGGUCUACAAGGUUAUGAAUACACAGGGAUUUGAUUCAUUCAAAGAUGAGUUAAAAUGAAAUACUUAUGGAUUUUUGAAGUUUUCCCAUUUCUCAACAAGGUCCAGCUUCUUCUCCAAUUGAGCAGGAAGCAGAGACAGCCAUGGCUGAGCUCGAUCUCAAGCUCGCUGGCAGCAAACGAUGGCUCUAAUUGGGGCAAGGUCAAAAGAGAACAUGGAGAACAAGUCUUUGAGAUUCCAUUCCUAUACUCUACCCAGCCCAGUGGUGGCCGGACAGGUGCAGGCAGCGGCUGCAAGUGGCAGCGCUCGGGAUGUCAUGCAUGUAACGAUGCAGCGCUGUGGGUGGUUCGCUCUAUUGCAUGCAUGUCAAGAACAUCACAUGCAAGAAAAACAUACAUUAAGGACUUGAUCCUACUGCUAAGAAGACACUUUUUGGCUUGAGGUGAAGAGCUGAUACCUCACCAAAACAGGGAAGCAAAGAAGACACCGAGCAGUUGUCACCAAAGGAGAGAAAACAACGUGCAACCUGCUCCUAGCCUUGAAAUCUUGAACCGGCGACCGGUGGAGGAGGCUAGGAAUGCUCAGCAUAUUAGGGAACCUAAGAGAGAAGCUAUGGAUGGGGAAGGAAGCUCACCAAGUGGAGGAAAACGAAGUGUUACUGCUACUGCACCAAGCAGCAAGCUCCUUCUCUUUUCUUCUCGAUCUCCCUCACAAAUCUAUGCAUGUGCAAGCCAUUUGGAUGGAUGGAAAGCUUAGAAUCACAAGGAUCUAGUGGUGUGACAUGCAGGGCU
RNAcentral lists this long non-coding RNA (3632 nucleotides) under Oryza sativa (Asian cultivated rice). Its description in RNAcentral is "long non-coding RNA (OSAT_LNC001822)". The record is from RNAcentral. Lineage: Eukaryota; Viridiplantae; Streptophyta; Magnoliopsida; Poales; Poaceae.